RNAcentral lists this ribosomal RNA (246 nucleotides) under uncultured bacterium. RNAcentral's name for it is "partial 16S ribosomal RNA". It matches the Rfam family "Bacterial small subunit ribosomal RNA", at positions 116 to 353 of the family's 1533-position model. The record is from RNAcentral.
CAUAAGUAACCUGCCCUAGACAGGGGGAUAACUAUUGGAAACGAUAGCUAAGACCGCAUAGGUACGGACACUGCAUGGUGACCGUAUUAAGAGUGCCUCAAAGCACUGGUAGAGGAUGGACUUAUGGCGCAUUAGCUGGUUGGCGGGGUAACGGCUCACCUAGGCGACGAUCCCUAGCUGGUCUGAGAGGAUGACCAGCCACACUGGAACUGAGACACGGUCCAAACUCCUACGGGAGGCAGCAUG